This 68-nucleotide transfer RNA is filed under the name Cordylochernes scorpioides. RNAcentral describes it as "tRNA-Thr". It matches the Rfam family "tRNA". Rfam says of the family: Transfer RNA (tRNA) molecules are approximately 80 nucleotides in length. The record is from RNAcentral. Lineage: Eukaryota; Metazoa; Arthropoda; Arachnida; Pseudoscorpiones; Chernetidae.
UCCAGGGUAGCCUAGUGGUCAUGGCAUCUGCCAUGUAAGCGGAACACUGUGGGUUCCCAUCCCUGGAC